GACAAAACAAACAUCUGCAGUUUACACAUGUACAAGUACAACAGCAAAAAAAAUGGGUACAUGGCAUAGCACUGGACAUUGUACUGACAGGAGACAAGGGGGUUCCCUGUGCCUGGCACUGCAUGAGACCUUCCCUUUUGACGUGCAGCUGUCAAACUGUCAUCAUCUAUCACUGGGCCAUAGAGAAUUUGGUGGAGAACUGCCCUGGCACUGUGAUUUUAGGAGUGGUCUAGGUCAGGGAAUGUGCAAAACCUGCUCCUGACAUUUGGCAGGAACAAGGGGACUGGAUCUCCUGCUCAAAAAGGUCUCCACUGACAUCAGCAGUUGUGCUCUCUAGAACACAGCUUGAAAUGGAAAUCAGAUUGGGAUAUCAGCCACAAUUUACCUGGCCAAUAACCAGAUGGUCAAGUUUAAAGUCAGUAACCAGAUACAUGUGGGAGCUUUGACAAGCUGCCAGGCAAAUAAAUGCCAUUCCUGUACUUACCCAGAAAGUCAGGGCUGUUAUCACUGCUGGUUACCUCCUCCACUGCUGGGAGUUGUUUGGAGGGGCUCUCCCAUCAGCCCACUGUGGAUCCAGUCCAGGAAAACUGGAUAUCAGAGUACAGACUCCAACCUGACUUUGGAUCAGACCCUAUUUCCUACCAAGCUCUCACAGGUGCAGAGUGGGACUUGUGCUGAAGUCUUGUGCCCAGUGGGACUUGUGAUGAAAAUGCAGCACCUAUGAUUGAGCAAACCACUUGUCUGCACAUCUAGACAGACAAAAUGUUUCAGCCCUUGCCCUGCCUCAAUUCCCCAGUGUCAGUGCAGAGGAGAAGCAGGUGGGCAGUGGGAUGAAGUCAGCCAUCCUCUAACCAGGCCAGCUGGAGGGUUUUUCCCCAAAGCUGCCAUUACAAACCUCCCCACUCUGCACUCCCACCCCUCUGACAUACCACCCCGAAUAUGUGGGAGAUGAACUGCAUCCCAAACUGCUGGCAGUGGGGUGGCCAGAACUCCAGGAAACUUUCCACAUCAGUGCGCAGCUCCUUCUUCUCCUCCUCGCCGAAGCUGUCCACGUGGUUCUGCAGCUCGUCGAUGGACACCAGGCAGCCCUCGGACAGCCCACUGCCCUCCCUCUCGAUCUUCCAGAGGAUGCGGGCAGCCAGCCUGGCAGGGGACAGCCACAGGUGUCACAGCACAAGGAGAGAACAAAGAGCCAUCAAAAUUCAUCUCCUUGGGGGGAAAUGGUGUGUGGGCAGACUGACUGAGACAGGCUCAGAUGGGUGAUGGAUGGUCACCAUCCCCAGCCUUCUGAAGGCAAGGGAGAUGCAGGGUUUUGUCCCAGCACCUGUGUUCUCAUCUGGAGAAGUGCUACAGACCCCCAGGUCCCCAGCCCUCCAAAGCUGCUCCCAUUUCCUUGAGGAUUCCUCUCAUUUUUUUAUGGCGGAGCCAGAAUGUGAAGACAAAUUCAUGUAUCCUAUAGGCAAAUUGGGGAAGAAUCCAUCUCCUCUUUCACUUUCCCACCUACUCCCCAGUUUCCCACACCUCCUAAACCAUCCAGGGUGGGUUUGCCUCACCACAUUCAGAGUUUUUAGAACCCAGGACCAAAAAAACCCAAACAGGAACACAUCUCUUGCACCACUGAUGCUCCUCCACAUACCUUCCCUAUCUCAGGGAAGCUCCAGGCCUAUCCUAAACCUUCUCCCACCUCCACCUUGCCCAAAUCAGACCACCCAGCUCUUCCUUGCCAUGGGAUGCUCUGUCCUCUCCCAGGGGCCAGCUCUCACCUGAUGUUUUCGGUGGGUGCCUUGCCAUGCCUCUUGAUGGCAGAGCACUCGUUUUUGUGGUUGAGCCAGGCUGCUCUCUGGCAGGUCCUGUCGCAGUAAUAGGCAAACUUGCACUGCCCGCAGCGGUGCAGCCGCUCCUGCCGCUUGAAGCAGGUGUGGCAGAUGACGUGUGUCAGGCUGCAAGGGCAGAAGGACACCUUGGAUCAGUGAGGGCCAGCUCUGCCCAGUGAAGAUCCCGCCUGCUUUGCACCCCUGGGCUCCCUACAGCUGCAAAAAUGAACCCCUCAAGAUUUUUGGGGAGGAUGGAGAAACACCCAGCUUAAUCCUUGUGGUCUUGCCUGUUGCUGUAAGUUAAAUGGUGAGGGAAUAACUGGGACCCCUUCAAAAGGGGUAUUUCAUCUUUAGGGGAUUCAAAACAGGAUUUCCAAGAAGCAUCCUACAAUUGUAUACAUGUAACUAUAACCAGGGCCAUGGGACGAUGCUGAUGAAGAAAUCUGACCUCACAUCCUCCCUCUGAGAGUGUCCAGGGUCCCUGACUGAGGGGAAACCUCCCCCAUAUGCCCCUUCAUUUAUCCAGCUUUUGCUCCUAGAACUUAAUUCACUGAGAAGGAGACACUUUGGUCUCCUGUCCAAAAAAUUUUGGGACUUUCCCCUUGCUGCUAGAGAGGGCUUUUCACUGCCUCAUUUGGUGUCUCCAGCUGUCUGCUUCUCCAGGCAACCACCCACUUUAUCUGGGCCUCCAGCCAGGCUUGACAGUACAGGAGAAUUUAAAUUCCCAUCACUCAGCCACUGCUGGUGCCAGAAGGGGGGUUCUGCUCACUGCAAAAAGCUCAGGGACCACAGAGGCUUCAUGAUCAAAGGAACAUUUAUAAUUGUGCUCAGUGCAGAGUGAGGAAACUGAGGCAAGGGGAAAUAAAAAAAAUUCUUGAUGAUCUCAUAAGGAGGAUGUGCCACAAGCAGGAGUCAGACUCACAGCCCCAGAGAAUCCAACCCAAAGAUUGUCCUCCCUCUCUACUAUACCUAUACCUAUAUAUAGGUACGCACAUACAUAUGCAUAUUUAUGUUUUUAUCUAUAUAACAGUACAUUUAAAAUGCAUUUAUUUUCUCUGAAAAUAUUAUCUGAGCUGCUGACAUAAUUUACCCUGUGCCUUGGCUCUUGCAGGAUAAAGAGGACUACUGAUUUAAGAGCAGGAUGACAUCAGACAAAACCUUGUGCAAAAAUGAGGUCUGGAAAAUGAGGUUUAGGAAAGUGAGCAGUGCUGGAGGGAGCCCAAUGCAAGGCAAGCACCUGGGAUGGGGCAGAGGGAAACAUGUCUGGGAAGGGGGGAUGCAGCCAGCUCCACUGUGUCAAAUGGAAGAGCUGAAAGCUGGUGAGAAAUGUGAGGCUGUGCUCUGUCAGCUGUCAGGUCAGGGGGGCAGAGAGGUGCAAGAGAGAUUACACUCCUUGUAAGGCAAAGCAGAGCCAGAGAGCUGAUAAAACCCACAUGGCUACGUCGUGCCAGGAAGCACAGGGAGAUAUCUCACAUGGGGAAUGGGGGUCUCUCCUGCCACCUGGGUGUUUUAAGGGCAGACAGAAGGCAAAAAUAAAGUUUCCUUGUAGAGAGGAAUGACAGGUUGGAUAGAAACAUGGUGCAGAAAAAUCCAAGUCCUACAAUAGGUGUUUCUCUCCCCUCAGUUUGCACCCUGAGAAUAAAAAAAUACUGAAAUGUAACUUUACAUUUUGCUGUUUAUUGCAUGGAGUAUCCAGAUUUCCCAAGGCAAACCUGGCUGGCAGAAUUUAACACCAGCUCUGGAAAUCCCUGAUUUCUGAGGAGAUGCAGAAAAGCACCAAAAAAUUAUACAAGACUUUCUGAGAAAGAAAAGGAAAAGCCCCUGUGGUAUUGAAGCUGCAGAGACAAUUACUCACAGGUAAUCUGACCAGCAAGUGUAAGAAAUACUGCAGCUCUUACAAAACCAUUAUGGGAUCCUCCGUGCCCCAAAACACUUUCAAAGAAGACUGGAUUUAUUGAUACUGUGUGUUAUCAGGACUCCAAAGGCCUGGGCUCAAGUCUUGGCACAAUAAAAAAAUCAGGAGCCACAAGUAUUUGAGAUCUAUUCCAUAAAACUUCAACUAACACUGCAUAAACAUCUGCAAGCACCUAAAUCCCUCAGGUGCCCCUUGGCAGUUGUGCAAAAUCCUGCUGUGUCAGAGGAGCUCAGAGCUGGAUGCCCCAAAAGGGAAUGACAAAGUGGGGCUCUCUCUUGGCUGGGUUCUGAUUCCACCUGUUCUGGAGACACUCAGGACACCAAAGGCUUGCAGUGCUUCACAGCCUCCUCUUUCAUCCCCUCUGCAAUGUUAAGGUUCUCCAAGUGGAGCAGCUUGAGAUUAAAUUUAAAGUCUCUCAACCUGUGGAAAUCAUUGGUCUAUAAAACCUUCCCUGUCUGGCCUAGAAAGU
Parus major (Great Tit) is the source of this 4198-nucleotide long non-coding RNA. RefSeq lists it as uncharacterized. The record is from RefSeq and is a predicted model, not a curated record. NCBI's taxonomy places the organism in Eukaryota, Metazoa, Chordata, Aves, Passeriformes, Paridae. The transcript has 2 exons.